GAUGAACGCUGGCGGCGUGCCUAAUACAUGCAAGUCGAGCGAACAGAUAAGGAGCUUGCUCCUUUGACGUUAGCGGCGGACGGGUGAGUAACACGUGGGUAACCUACCUAUAAGACUGGGAUAACUUCGGGAAACCGGAGCUAAUACCGGAUAACAUUUGGAACCGCAUGGUUCUAAAGUGAAAGAUGGUUUUGCUAUCACUUAUAGAUGGACCCGCGCCGUAUUAGCUAGUUGGUAAGGUAGCGGCUUACCAAGGCGACGAUACGUAGCCGACCUGAGAGGGUGAUCGGCCACACUGGAACUGAGACACGGUCCAGACUCCUACGGGAGGCAGCAGUAGGGAAUCUUCCGCAAUGGGCGAAAGCCUGACGGAGCAACGCCGCGUGAGUGAUGAAGGGUUUCGGCUCGUAAAACUCUGUUAUUAGGGAAGAACAAACGUGUAAGUAACUGUGCACGUCUUGACGGUACCUAAUCAGAAAGCCACGGCUAACUACGUG
Molecule: ribosomal RNA, 497 nt
Filed under: uncultured bacterium
Lineage: Bacteria
Description: partial 16S ribosomal RNA
Rfam family: Bacterial small subunit ribosomal RNA
Source: RNAcentral